This is a long non-coding RNA of Ctenopharyngodon idella (grass carp), 1067 nucleotides long. RefSeq lists it as uncharacterized. NCBI's taxonomy places the organism in Eukaryota, Metazoa, Chordata, Actinopteri, Cypriniformes, Xenocyprididae. The record is from RefSeq and is a predicted model, not a curated record. The transcript is spliced from 3 exons.
UGGCAGAAGCCCCCCCUGCUUACCCCAGCCCUCUCUAGAUGCCCCUUCAACCUGAUGGAUGUCAUCAAUAAUGGACGCCCGUUGCUCACUCCCACCCCGGGACACAGAAAAUCACAAGCCAGCCGAAGUGGCAGCCCGAGCCCAGCAGAGGUGUGAUAAUUCACAUCCACAUUUAUACUUUUAAAUUUCAUCAAGUAGUUUACCUCCCCAAACAUGCCACAGGCUGAGGGGAGAAAGCUGACAAAGAAAUGUGGGUUUGAUAGGAGCUAGAGAAAUCUGGCCUGACUGUCUUUGCUCAGGGUAAAACCCACCGAAUGAGGUAAAUGCAUCAGCGGCAGGGGCUGUCUCGACACGGGUGGCAGGAGGAGGAUGGAGGGGACGAGAGAGAGAGAGAGAGAGAAGUGUCGGAGUGCUGGGGAAAGGCUGGAUCCAGCGGCUAGGACAUAAUGAAGCACACCAGGCAGGGUCAGCCCUCUGCGUUUGAAGCGACAAAUCGGCCGUCAGCGCGCAUGUCGGAUACCAGGCACCAUAGCGUUCUGUCUCUCUCUCUUUCUCGCUCUCUGCAGAUGUUCUCUCUACCUAUUCAGCAGGGAUGGGGUGACAGUGGGCUGUGACAGCUUUCCCUAAUGACCCGUGAGUGCCCGCUUCUGUGUGCUGACAUUUUGGGUGGCAGCACAGAUGCCAGGCAUGCAGAGGGGGGCGUUACUGCCGCUGGCAGAUCUCGCUCCAAAUAAAUUACUGUCAGAGGUGUUGCUCUCUCCCCCUCUCUCUUUCUCACUCAUGUACACAAAAUGCAGCAGACUUUCACCGUGUCCUAACCAGGCAAGAUGUGACUGUUCCGGCGACAAGCAAUUUGUUUCUCAUACUGAAAGCGAAACUGCUAUAUGAUGCGGCAUAGUCACAGCCAAUCAUAAGAUAUUUGAUGCUCAAUGUACAGCUAUGUGAAGCGGGCCAAUGAGAUUUCAUUGUGGGCGGGGCUAUCCAGUGCAGAGAAAUGUUAAUUAUACUGUACAUUCAAUGUCACUAAUUCAUUCAAUACUGACAAUUAAUUAAAAAUAGUUUAAUUA